GUCUUUUCGGGGACAUCCGGUAAGUUUGAAACUAUAUAGAAGACUAGUAUGGCUCCUACUCAAAGAUGACACACAAACUGAAAAAGUUGUUCAAAUAUUUU
Molecule: small nuclear RNA, 101 nt
Filed under: Brassica oleracea var. oleracea
Lineage: Eukaryota; Viridiplantae; Streptophyta; Magnoliopsida; Brassicales; Brassicaceae
Source: RNAcentral